AGCAGCCGCGGUAAUUCCAGCUCCAAUAGCGUAUAUUAAAGUUGUUGCAGUUAAAAAGCUCGUAGUUGAAUUUCGGGAUCAAUAUAUCGGUCGUGCCUUGGUACGUACUGGUAUCAUUGGUUUCUCCUUUCUGACGAACCAUGAUGUCAUUAAUUUGGUGUUAUGGGAAAUUAGGACUGUUACUUUGAAAAAAUUAGAGUGUUUAAAGCAGGCUUUAGCUUGAAUACAUUAGCAUGGAAUAAUGAAAUAGGACGUUCGAACCUAUUUUGUUGGUUUCUAGGAUCAACGUAAUGAUUAAUAGGGAUAGUUGGGGGCAUUAGUAUUCAAUUGUCAGAGGUGAAAUUCUUGGAUUUAUUGAAGACUAACUACUGCGAAAGCAUUUGCCAAGGAUGUUUUCAUUAAUCAAGAACGAAAGUUAGGGGAUCGAAGACGAUCAGAUACCGUCGUAGU
RNAcentral lists this ribosomal RNA (450 nucleotides) under uncultured Glomeromycotina. Its description in RNAcentral is "SSU rRNA". It matches the Rfam family "Eukaryotic small subunit ribosomal RNA", at positions 569 to 1024 of the family's 1831-position model. Lineage: Eukaryota; Fungi; Glomeromycota. The record is from RNAcentral.